This 301-nucleotide ribosomal RNA is filed under the name uncultured bacterium. RNAcentral describes it as "partial 16S ribosomal RNA". It matches the Rfam family "Bacterial small subunit ribosomal RNA", at positions 509 to 807 of the family's 1533-position model. The record is from RNAcentral.
CAGUCGCCGCGGUAAUACGGAGGGUGCAAGCGUUAAUCGGAAUUACUGGGCGUAAAGCGCACGCAGGCGGUCUGUCAAGUCGGAUGUGAAAUCCCUGAGCUUAACUUAGGAAUUGCAUUCGAUACUGGGAAGCUAGAGUAUGGGAGAGGAUGGUAGAAUUCCAGGUGUAGCGGUGAAAUGCGUAGAGAUCUGGAGGAAUACCGAUGGCGAAGGCAGCCAUCUGGCCUAAUACUGACGCUGAGGUACGAAAGCAUGGGGAGCAAACAGGAUUAGAUACCCCCGUAGUCCCUGUCUCUUAUAC